CCUACGGGAGGCAGCAGUGAGGAAUAUUGGUCAAUGGCCGUAAGCCUGAACCAGCCAAGUCGCGUGAAGGAAGAAUGCUCUAUGGGUUGUAAACUUCUUUUAUAGGGGAAUAAAGGUAUCCACGUGUGGAUAUUUGCAUGUACCCUAUGAAUAAGCAUCGGCUAACUCCGUGCCAGCAGCCGCGGUAAUACGGAGGAUGCGAGCGUUAUCCGGAUUUAUUGGGUUUAAAGGGUGCGUAGGUUGUUUUUUAAGUCAGCGGUGAAAGUUUGUGGCUCAACCAUAAAAUUGCCGUUGAAACUGGAAGACUUGAGUGUGUUUGAGGUAGGCGGAAUGCGUGGUGUAGCGGUGAAAUGCAUAGAUAUCACGAAGAACUCCGAUUGCGAAGGCAGCUUACUAAGCUACAACUGACACUGAAGCACGAAAGCGUGGGGAUCAAACAGGAUUAGAUACCCGUGUAGUC
Molecule: ribosomal RNA, 460 nt
Filed under: uncultured bacterium
Lineage: Bacteria
Description: partial 16S ribosomal RNA
Rfam family: Bacterial small subunit ribosomal RNA
Source: RNAcentral